Molecule: long non-coding RNA, 5177 nt
Filed under: Fragaria vesca (wild strawberry)
Lineage: Eukaryota; Viridiplantae; Streptophyta; Magnoliopsida; Rosales; Rosaceae
Description: long non-coding RNA (FVES_LNC002258)
Source: RNAcentral
UUUUCUGAUUGAGAAAUAAAAGUUCAGUGAUGUUGCAUUGCAUUCUUUCUAUGAUUAGUUUGAAUCAUGAUAUAGCUAUAUGGAUAUUGUUAUGUCUAUUAAGACAAUGUUGUUUUCAGAAUUUAAAGGGCAUCUGUUAUAAUUUUCUUUUGAAGAUGAUGUCAGGUUCUUGCAUACNNNNNNNNNNNNNNNNNNNNAUAUAUAUAUAUAUAUAUAUAUAUAUAUAUAUCUAUAUGGAUAUAGAUAACCAGAAGUACUAAAACUUUUAUUUUCUUUUAUCUCUAUUUCCAGUUUUGACUCCUGUGAACUUAGGGAGUGUGAUGCCUUUGAAUGGUAGCAACUAUAGGACCUGGAGAGAUGAUAUAGACCUAAACCUAGCUCAACAGAAUGUAGAUUGGUGUCUGAGUGUCCCAAUGCUUGCUGAAAAUGGUGCAGCUAGAGAUAACUGGGUGAGAGCAAAUAAGAUCUGUAAGCUCACUAUUAUGAGGACUAUGUCUGAUGUUGUGAAAGGUGGUAUUCCCGAGAAAGAGAUAGCUAGUGAGUACCUUACUGCCAUAGCUGAGAGGUUCACGAUUAGUGACAAGGCUGAGACUGCCAUGUUGUUAGACCAGUUGCAUGGUAUGAGGUAUGAGAUGAAGAUGAACAUCAGGGAGUAUAUUCUGAAGAUGAUUGAUAUUGGAGCUAAGCUCACUGCCCUUAAGAUGACCAUGGAGGAAGACAUGAUUGUGAUGCUAGUUCUGAAAUCCCUCCCUGUUGAAUUUGAUCAGCUUAAGACCACCUACACCACUCAAAAAGACAAGUGGACUUUGAAUGAGCUAAUUGCUAUAUGUGUCCAGGAGCAUGAGAGAAUUAAGGUCACCAUCCAGAGUAGGAGUUGAAGCUGUAAGAUUUGUUAAGUCAGUUUUGAGGCCAGAAGGUCUUUUCUAUUUUUUAGAGCAAGUGUAUUAUGCUAUUUCCAUGUCUUGGAACUUAUUUUUUCAGUUACUGUUUUUGCCUUUUGGGUUAAAGACAAUUAACAUUUUGUUAUUGUUAUAGUUGGAAUGAAAAUAAAUCGUGAUUCUUUUAUCUUGUGACUGUAAAGUUCAUUGAGGAUAUUACAGUCGUCAAUCAACAGGGGUUCUGUGUUGGUCUAUUUUGCAAAUAUAUAGUGUAUGGUUUCUUGUUUUAUUGUAUUUGGAUGGCCAACUGACAUGUUCUUAUAGGGUUUUAUGAGAUUAGUUCGGGAAAUUGGUUUUAUGGUUUAUGUUUUACUGCAUAAGAAUAUUGGCAAGUUCUUUACUGGUGUUUUGGUAUAACUGUAAACUAUAUGACUGAUUAGAUGAACUCAAUUAAUAUCUUGANNNNNNNNNNNNNNNNNNNNCAUAAGGUAAUUGAUUAGUUUAUUAGAGUUGCCUUGUGAGAUGAGAUUCUAAGUGAAUUUGUCAAUAUAUAAAGGUCCAUGUGUAAGCUCAUUCUACGCCUGUAAGUUUUCAUACUCACUGUGAAGAGGCAAUCUGGAGAAUUACACAGAAGACUUCCUCUGCUCUAGCUUGAUGGCGUUGAACAUGAACAACCAAGGUUGGUGCUUCUAAUUCUUAUACAUGUUUAUAUGUUCUUGUUUUGCUGAAACAUGAUGCAAUGUGUUUAUGUCUAUAUGUGGUUUUCAGUUCAAUAGUUUUAGAGCUCUUCUUUGAAGUAAUGAAAUACAUAACCAGAUAUUGCAAUAAACGAAGUAUGUACGUAGCUGAUGGACGCUUGGCUGCCAUGGGAUCAGUGCAUCACUCCUCUUCAGCUCCAUUAGAGUUGGCAUUUCUUAUUUUCUUUUUUCUUUAAAUAUCUAAUCUGCUUUUCGUUCUCCUUGUCAUUGUUGUUCUUCUUAGAAAAAUAUAUAAUAAAAUCUCCAAUGAUUAUGAAGUAUGUACCCUAGCUUAUUCCACAAAAUUCUGUCAAAUUCGUAAAGUAAGGAAACACCAGACCAAUAUUACAUGCUCACAAGUUGAAAGAAAACCUCAUCCACAUGUGUGCCUUGUCACGCAAGUGACCUAAUGUUUUGAGUUUAAAAACCUCGAUUAUUUACAAGCAUAUUCAUCGAUAUUUAGUUCUUUCAGACAUAUAAUGUAUCAAGAAAAAGACCAACACAAGAUCAAAACAAGAUUAAUGUGGCAUUCAUGAUUUCCCAGAAUUGAUCUCAAUCCUCCCUAAAGUGAGAGCUUGGGGAGGUGAUCAGGAUUACUACCUAUACCAAGGCUUUGGUACCCCACGUACGUUGUUCCUUCAAGGUGUCAUUUGGGCACAGCAAAGUUUCAGGGCUACAGAAACUGGCAUAUUCUUGGCCAUGCCACCUUUCCGAAGUGCAGUACACCAUGGCUCAAGGCUCUCAUGUCUGCUAUCCAAAAUGAUAUCGAAAUUACCAAUCCCAAUCCAAUCAUCCAUUGCUCACAAACAAUCCCCAUGAUUGUGUGCCCUUCCUAGAGUUGCUAGCUCACAAAGAUAACCCAAACGCCUACCUUGAAUCUCUUCUUUCACCUAGAUUGCUUGCAAUGGCCACAGUUCUUACCCUAGACUCCAUUUGGAAUACCUCGGGCACACGGCCGGAUUGUGUACAUUGCAUUUGUAAGGAAUCCUAAAGAUAUUCUUGUUUCUCUAUGGAGGUUUACACAGAAAGUUGGACAACAAGCAGUUUCAAAUGGCCAACUAUUCGAUCGGUCACCUCUCUUCCUACAGAAGAGGCAUUUGAGUUGUUUUGGUAAAAGGGUAAUCACUAGAGUUGUGGACUUAUGGUUUUCAACUUUAACACUUCUUAUGGAAAUUGGUUCUCUUCUAUACUUUAGAGACCGGUAUUGUGGUGUAUCAUUGCAGAACUUAUAUUCUACAGCUUCUAGUUUUAAAUCAUGACCACAGCUUCUAGUUUCAAAAGAAAACUAAAAUACGAAAGAAUAGAUAUACGAGGAUUAUCAGGUGCGGACGUCCGCACCGCCUUAAAGUGCGGAUUUCCCUCCAUUCGCCACCCUACGGCGCCGGUGAGGGCGCGCCUCCACCCCAGCAGAUUCCAACAGCGUCCCCGACCACUUUCCCUCCCCGGCGAGUUCGCCGAAUUCCAGUUUUCUGGCGAAAUCACCCAAAACUUCAAACAAAGUCAAUCUGGCCGGAAAACUGGAAUUUGGUGAACUCGCUGGGGAUGGAAAGUGGUCGGGGAAGCUGCUGGAGUCCGCUGGGGUAGAGGCGCGCCCUCGCCGGCGCCCUAGGGUGGUGAACGGAGGGAAAUCCGCACCUUAAGGCGGUGCGGACGUCCGUAUCUGAAACAGACUGUAUAUAUAUAUAUAUAUAUAUAUANNNNNNNNNNNNNNNNNNNNUUGGGUGAUCUCGCUGGAAAACUGGAAUUCGGUGGACUCGCCGGGUAGGAAAAGUGAUCUUGGACUCUGCUGGAGUCCGUUGGGGUGGCGGCGCGCAAUCGUCGGAGCCGGACGGUGGCGAACAGAGCUCCGUGCGCACUUACGCACGUGCGCUUCAUAUCCGGCCUCUAUAUAUAUAUAUAUACAAUCCUUCUCAGCUGCGGACAUCCGCAUUUAUUCUAACGGUGCGGAUUUCUACUUUACACUCACUUUUCAAUCGAAUUUUCACAUCUCCACCGUCUAGUAUUUAGAUAUUAAUGUACAGAUCAUCUCUGCAAAAUUUCAGCCAAUUUGGUUAUCAUUAAGACACUCAAAACUGCGUUUUUCUGUUAUAAACAUGAACGGUUCAAGUUCGACAGAAUUAUGUUCAUCCAUUUGUUUAAUUGAGUUUGAGUGCUUUAAUGAUAACCAAAUUGGCUGAAAUUUUACAGAGAUGAUCUAUACAUUAGUAUCUAAAUACUAGACAGUGAAGAUGUGAAAAUUUAAUUGAAAAGCGAGUGUAAAAUGGAAAUCCGCACCGUAAGAAUAAAUGCAGACAUCCGCACCUGAGAAAAUCUGUAUAAAUAUAUAUAUAUAUAUACAGCCCUUCUCGGCUGCGGACGUCCGCACCAAUGGUUUUGGUGCGGAUUUCUAUUUUUGCACCACUUUUCGAUCGAAUUUCCUCAUCUCUACCGUCUAGUAUCUAGAUAAUAUUGUGUAGAUCAUCUCUGCAAAAUUUCAGCCAAUUUGGUGAUCGUUAAGGCCCUUAAAAUUGUGUUUUCUGGUAUAAACAUGAACCGGACAGAAUUCAGUCCGUUCAUUUGUUUUUCGAGUUUGAGGGCCUUAACGAUUACCAAAUUGGCUGAAAUUUUGCAGAGAUGAUCUACACAAUAUUAUCUAGAUACUAGACGGUGGAGAUGAGGAAAUUAGAUCGAAAAGUGGUGUAAAAAUGGAAAUCAACACCAAAACUUUGUUGCGGACGUCCGCAACUGAGAAAAAUCGUGUGUAUAUAUAUAUAUAUUGAUGCUAUGAUCAUGAUGCGCAAAUAGUAUGACAACUUCAUAACCUUUUAAGCAUGUCUUAUUUAUAGCUGAUGUACUGACAUACUCAUACACAGAGGCCUAAGAUAAACCCUACUAGCUAGAAUCGAAAAGCAUGAAUUGGAGUGAAUCGAAACAAAGCUUGAUUGAGCAGAAUUAUGAAUUGGAGUGAACAGAAUAUAUAGAUACAUGUACCUUAGGAGAUAUAGCAGCUGGUGUCCGGCCGAGUCUGGAUCGUUGUCGUCGUCGUCGUCGUCGCCAGAGAGAUGAGACAAGACUCACUCAGAACGUUUUUUUUCGAUGAAGGAACGUUGAACAAUGGUUCUCAAAAAAAUAAACGUGGAACAAUGGACUAUAGACGACUCGUCGUUUUUGUGUUUUUAAAUGGUGAACCCCCAGUCCGUUUAGCCCACCACGGCCCCGACCACCUAGACGCGUCUCGUGUCCGCCUAGCCCGUUAAAAGCCCAAUUCGCUUUAUUUUUUAAAUUAUUAUCAUUAUUAUUAUUUUUUAUGAAUGGCGACCGACGAGAACAGCCGCGGGGGCGGGGGGGUGGGACGGCGUUUAGCAAUGUAGGCGCCUAACACAGACGCCCACCACAAGGAUGGUAUUAGAGAGUAAGAACCCUCUCCCCUAAGUGAUGCGUUUGAUUUGUUUUGUAUGAUGUUCAUAAUCUCAAUCCAUCUGGGUUUCUAGCUACUGCUUGUGGUGUUUUGGUGUGAUUUUUGGAGGUUGCAUUAUAAGAUCAAUUUGAAGGAACAUGAGAAAAAGAUGUAGGAGGAAUCAAU